UUACUGCACACUUGCAACAUUAUAGCUUUCAUUUUCGUAGGGGCAUUCACACCGAUAGAGGCCACAGGGUUUGGCAUUAAAUGAAUGAAAAUGUUGAAAGAAACAAACAAAAUAGUCAUAAAACCUGUAAAUGUGUAAGAAAAAACUAUUUAGGGGUAGCAUCCCAAAGACUGAGGUUUAACCUAAACUAGUUAACUAGCAUGAAAUGUCACCCACCAACAACUUGUGUAAAGCAAACUGUUAGCUUAGUCAGCAAAGACCCUUCGUUGUUAGAUGCGUUAUAUUAUAACAUUUUGGAACUUUCACUACUUUAUAGAAAUAAACUACUAGGGACGUAAAUCAGCCUUAUUCAGUAGCAAUAAAUCAGGCACUGCUCAAAAACAUACAUGUAGGUAAUAUGCAUACAGUACAUGUUUGCCUGUUUUGAAAAUGUCAUAUUUGUUUUUCAUUAGUGACAGGCUAGCUUUACAUAGGUUGACAUACUUUCCAUGCAUUCAGCUGCAGACUUACUACAAGUUGGAUGUGGUGGCUUUUUCAGUUUUGAUGUCACUUGAAUGCAGCAAAGACUUGCUCCAUUUCCAGCAAUAUUGCAUAUGACUCAUCAAAGCCCGUUUACAGGCUUUAGUGUCUCCAGAGGGAGUGUGUGAAUAAAUGUCCUCAAGUGAUGUCACUUGAUUUGAAAAAUGACAAAAUCUGGAGGUGUGGAGUUAGGCCACUGUAGCCCGCUCCUUAUCUUUGCUCAAGGCUAUAUUAGCUACUACUAGCGUAACACAUGACUAAACUGUCUUCAGUCAGAGUUGCAUUGUGGGUAAUGUACAGUAGGUGGCAGAUUUUAACAAAGGAAGGAGAAGAAAGAAGAAUGCGUUGAAUAAAAAGGACAAUAUCUCUGGUUUUGUAUCCUUUUUGUUUUAAACUGUCCAAAAAC
This is a long non-coding RNA of Sander lucioperca (pikeperch), 925 nucleotides long. RefSeq lists it as uncharacterized. The record is from RefSeq and is a predicted model, not a curated record. The transcript is spliced from 2 exons. NCBI's taxonomy places the organism in Eukaryota, Metazoa, Chordata, Actinopteri, Perciformes, Percidae.